CAGAUCAUAGCUGAGAGUGGAGCUGUUUUAUAGUCACAGGUUCACUGCUUAGCACUUUGAAUGCUUCUCAGCCACUCUGCUGCUCUCAGGGCAGUCCUUGCAUUUUGGGGGGGAAGUUUUGCAACCUUAUUUAAUAUGGAGAAGCUCUGUCAGUUCCUGCAGAGACUCCUGAGGAUCUCUGCUUGUUACUGGAAGAACCAUGUGCAACUGCAUUAGUCUGGUUUGCUUUUCAAUUAGCAGUCAGUCUGCAACCAGCAGAAGCCUUGAAAGAAUUGAUUGAAAUUCUCACAACCAAAUGGUAUCAACGUGGAGCCAAGAAGGACAUAUUUUCAUUUAAAACCCACAGAAAUAGAGACCAGGAUGGGAAAUAACAAUUCAACACCACAAGUUAAAGGAGCAUUGUUCCAGUGAGGCUAAUUGUUGUGUGACCCCUGAAGCAGCUUUGUUGGCACCAGUGACAUGGUGGCAAACAAACAGCCAGCAGCCAGCCUCUUCAUCUGACUUUUCCAAAGCAGCCAGCAGAUCAUGUAAUGACACUAAGAAAAUCACGUGGGAAACCACACGCAUUCCAAGCAAAGGCAAGCAAAGUGAAGAGGAAACUGAACUUCAUAAUCCCACUGUUUAACAUAACAUUUGGGGAAACCUUAUCAAAUCAUGCAAGAAUAUUACAAAGCAGGAAAAAAAAAUAAUAAGGACACAGCCCAGUGUUAUUCAUCCAAAUAACAGCUAAAAAAAUAUCUAUCAAUGGUAUGCAAAUGUCCUGACAAAAACUU
Cygnus olor (mute swan) is the source of this 773-nucleotide long non-coding RNA. RefSeq lists it as uncharacterized. The record is from RefSeq and is a predicted model, not a curated record. The transcript is spliced from 2 exons. Lineage: Eukaryota; Metazoa; Chordata; Aves; Anseriformes; Anatidae.